GACGAACGCUGGCGGCGUGCUUAACACAUGCAAGUCGAACGGAAAGGCCCUGCUUUUGUGGGGUGCUCGAGUGGCGAACGGGUGAGUAACACGUGAGUAACCUGCCCUUGACUUUGGGAUAACUUCAGGAAACUGGGGCUAAUACCGGAUAGGAGCUCCUGCUGCAUGGUGGGGGUUGGAAAGUUUCGGCGGUUGGGGAUGGACUCGCGGCUUAUCAGCUUGUUGGUGGGGUAGUGGCUUACCAAGGCUUUGACGGGUAGCCGGCCUGAGGGUGACCGUCCACAUUGGGACUGAGAUACGGCCCAGACUCCUACGGGAGGCAGCAGUGGGGAAUAUUGCACAAUGGGCGGAAGCCUGAUGCAGCAACGCCGCGUGCGGGAUGACGGCCUUCGGGUUGUAAACCGCUUUCGCCUGUGACGAAGCGUGAGUGACGGUAAUGGGUAAAGAAGCACCGGCUAACUACGUG
RNAcentral lists this ribosomal RNA (466 nucleotides) under uncultured bacterium. Its description in RNAcentral is "partial 16S ribosomal RNA". It matches the Rfam family "Bacterial small subunit ribosomal RNA", at positions 28 to 507 of the family's 1533-position model. The record is from RNAcentral.